CCUGUGUGUGUGUGUGUGUGUGUGUGUGUGUGUGUCUGUGAGACACACACACACACACACACACACGGGCAGGAG
This 75-nucleotide microRNA precursor is filed under the name Podarcis lilfordi (Lilford's wall lizard). Lineage: Eukaryota; Metazoa; Chordata; Lepidosauria; Squamata; Lacertidae. The record is from RNAcentral.